CAGUUGUCGUGCCAACGGCAUCGCUGAGUAGCUAAGUCUGGCAAGGAUAACCGCUGAAAGCAUCUAAGUGGGAAGCCUGCCUCAAGAUUAGAUCCCCCACCUCUUAAUGAGGGUAAGUGCGCUGGAAGACUACCAGCUUGAUAGGCGAGGCGUGUACGCGCAGUAAUGCGUUUAGCGGACUCGUACUAAUGCACGAGGGCUUUCUACGC
RNAcentral lists this ribosomal RNA (209 nucleotides) under Anaerolineae bacterium. RNAcentral's name for it is "partial 23S ribosomal RNA". It matches the Rfam family "Bacterial large subunit ribosomal RNA", at positions 2718 to 2925 of the family's 2925-position model. Lineage: Bacteria; Bacillati; Chloroflexota; Anaerolineae. The record is from RNAcentral.